AUACGGAGGGGGCAAGCGUUGUUGGGAAUUACUGGGCGUAAAGGGCGCGCAGGCGGCGUCGUUAGUCAGGUGUGAAAUCCCCGGGCUCAACCCGGGAACUGCACUUGAUACUGCGAUGCUAGAGUUCGGGAGAGGGUAGUGGAAUUCCCAGUGUAGAGGUGAAAUUCGUAGAUAUUGGGAAGAACACCAGUGGCGAAGGCGGCUACCUGGACCGAUACUGACGCUGAGGCGCGAAAGCGUGGGGAGCAAACAGGAUUAGAAACCCCAGUAGUCC
Molecule: ribosomal RNA, 274 nt
Filed under: uncultured bacterium
Lineage: Bacteria
Description: partial 16S ribosomal RNA
Rfam family: Bacterial small subunit ribosomal RNA
Source: RNAcentral